GGAAGUUUAGCUCAGUUGGUUAGAGCACCUGCCUUACAAGCAGGGGGUCACAGGUUCGAGUCCUGUAACUUCCACCA
RNAcentral lists this transfer RNA (77 nucleotides) under Clostridia bacterium. Its description in RNAcentral is "tRNA-Val". It matches the Rfam family "tRNA". Rfam says of the family: Transfer RNA (tRNA) molecules are approximately 80 nucleotides in length. Their secondary structure includes four short double-helical elements and three loops (D, anti-codon, and T loops). Further hydrogen bonds mediate the characteristic L-shaped molecular structure. tRNAs have two regions of fundamental functional importance: the anti-codon, which is responsible for specific mRNA codon recognition, and the 3' end, to which the tRNAs corresponding amino acid is attached (by aminoacyl-tRNA synthetases). tRNAs cope with the degeneracy of the genetic code in two manners: having more than one tRNA (with a specific anti-codon) for a particular amino acid; and 'wobble' base-pairing, i.e. permitting non-standard base-pairing at the 3rd anti-codon position. The record is from RNAcentral. Lineage: Bacteria; Bacillati; Bacillota; Clostridia.